RNAcentral lists this ribosomal RNA (236 nucleotides) under uncultured bacterium. RNAcentral's name for it is "partial 16S ribosomal RNA". It matches the Rfam family "Bacterial small subunit ribosomal RNA", at positions 100 to 334 of the family's 1533-position model. The record is from RNAcentral.
CCGGCACGGGUGAGUAACACGUAUGCAAUCCACCUGUAACAGGGGGAUAACACUGAGAGAUUGGUACUAAUACCCCAUAAUAUCAUAGAAGGCAUCUUUUAUGGUUGAAAAUUCCGAUGGUUAGAGAUGGGCAUGCGUUGUAUUAGCUAGUUGGUGGGGUAACGGCUCACCAAGGCGACGAUACAUAGGGGGACUGAGAGGUUAACCCCCCACACUGGUACUGAGACACGGACCAG